GACGAACCGUCCGAACGUUAUUCGGUAUCACUGGGCUUAAAGCGUGCGUAGGCGGCCUGGUAGGUGAGAUGUGAAAGCCCACGGCUCAACCGUGGAAUUGCGUUUCAAACCACCAGGCUUGAGGAUGGCAGGGGUGAUGGGAACUGAUGGUGGAGCGGUGAAAUGCAUUGAUAUCAUCAGGAACACCGGUGGCGAAGGCGCAUCACUGGGCCAUUUCUGACGCUGAGGCACGAAAGCUAGGGCAGCGAACGGGAUUA
Molecule: ribosomal RNA, 257 nt
Filed under: uncultured prokaryote
Description: partial 16S ribosomal RNA
Rfam family: Bacterial small subunit ribosomal RNA
Source: RNAcentral